Molecule: ribosomal RNA, 511 nt
Filed under: uncultured Bacillota bacterium
Lineage: Bacteria; Bacillati; Bacillota
Description: bacterial SSU rRNA
Rfam family: Bacterial small subunit ribosomal RNA
Source: RNAcentral
CGACCGCGUGAGCGAAGAAGGCCUUCGGGUCGUAAAGCUCUGUUGUUAGGGAAGAACAAGUAUCGGAGUAACUGCCGGUACCUUGACGGUACCUAACCAGAAAGCCACGGCUAACUACGUGCCAGCAGCCGCGGUAAUACGUAGGUGGCAAGCGUUGUCCGGAAUUAUUGGGCGUAAAGCGCGCGCAGGCGGUCCUUUAAGCCUGAUGUGAAAGCCCACGGCUCAACCGUGGAGGGUCAUUGGAAACUGGGGGACUUGAGUGCAGAAGAGGAGAGUGGAAUUCCACGUGUAGCGGUGAAAUGCGUAGAGAUGUGGAGGAACACCAGUGGCGAAGGCGACUCUCUGGUCUGUAACUGACGCUGAGGCGCGAAAGCGUGGGGAGCAAACAGGAUUAGAUACCCUGGUAGUCCACGCCGUAAACGAUGAGUGCUAAGUGUUAGAGGGUUUCCGCCCUUUAGUGCUGCAGCUAACGCAUUAAGCACUCCGCCUGGGGAGUACGGCCGCAAGGCUG